GGAGGAAACCGCGCUUUGUUCUUGAGGUGUUCACGGAUAAUGAAGCUGAUGUGAGAGCCCUGGAGAGAAACAUCAGUCAAAGGCAUGCAGGGAAUCCCAUCCAGCGUCCCUCUACUCUCCUCUGCAGCUUCCAUGGUUGGAAUGCUGAGCCAUUGCUAGGACGAUGAGGCUACAGGAAAGUGAAAUGCACCUGCUGCGAUCUGAUCCAACUGACCACUCCUGCUGCUCCUCCCUUGCACCUCAGGCAUCUCCUUCCAAUCUGGAGGAAACACUUUUACCUCCACUUUUCUUUUACAGUCCUCCAAACUCUGUUCCUUCUAGGGAGCACAAGUACAGAAAUAGAAACCUGGACUCCCAUCAUCCUGCUUCACAAACUUACAAUGUUAAAGAAAGAAAAAAAAAAAGACCAAGUACAUUACCUGGUAGAAUUGGAGAGAUGGGCACGAAAGAGCUGUAAAUACAGUUAGAAAACACACUAGCAUUUACAAAUGUGUAUGAGAAACAAUGAGGAGGAUUUUCAGAGACUAUCAUAACCAUUUAUUUUUCUAAUAUGUGAUAAGUAAACGCACAGAAAAUCAAUUUAAUAUUUGGGGCUUUUAUUUCUCAUUUUUUAGAUUGCCAGAAAGACUGUCCAGUGUUAUAAAGUUUGUGUCAAUAUUCUGGAAUUGGCAAUUUUGUCAUUUAUAUGGGAGAAAUAGCUAAAGGUGUAGUAUAAAGUAUUUGCUCGUAGGUAAUGGAAUGUUACCUUUACCCAAAGAUAUAAAAAAUAAACGGUAG
RNAcentral lists this long non-coding RNA (777 nucleotides) under Homo sapiens (human). Its description in RNAcentral is "non-protein coding lnc-PITRM1-7:6". Lineage: Eukaryota; Metazoa; Chordata; Mammalia; Primates; Hominidae. The record is from RNAcentral.